Molecule: unclassified non-coding RNA, 314 nt
Filed under: Hevea brasiliensis (rubber tree)
Lineage: Eukaryota; Viridiplantae; Streptophyta; Magnoliopsida; Malpighiales; Euphorbiaceae
Source: RNAcentral
GAUUAUUUUUGUUGAGUGCAUAUCACAUAGCAUAUCCAGCAGAGCUGACGAGGACACCAACUUAAGAUCCAUACUUAAAAGUAGCAACUGAAUGAAAAAUGAGUUUAUUGCAGCUAAAUUCUUAAGCAAUUGCCAAAGUUGCAUAAAAAACACUUGAGAAUGAAAAACCACAUGUAUACACAAUAAUAGGAUCCAAAAACAUCAACCGAAAAUGCAUAAUUAACUUGGCAUUAAGGGUGAAAAAACAAUAGGAUAUGUAAAUUUCUUGUAUGUUAGAUAACUAAGCAGUAACCUAAAUGGCAUAGAGGUCUCAC